RNAcentral lists this non-coding RNA (103 nucleotides) under Oceanicella actignis. RNAcentral's name for it is "Pleomorphobacterium xiamenense TPP sequence". It matches the Rfam family "TPP riboswitch aptamer (THI element)". From Rfam's summary of the family: Vitamin B(1) in its active form thiamin pyrophosphate (TPP) is an essential coenzyme that is synthesised by coupling of pyrimidine and thiazole moieties in bacteria. The previously detected thiamin-regulatory element, thi box was extended, resulting in a new, highly conserved RNA secondary structure, the THI element, which is widely distributed in eubacteria and also occurs in some archaea. Analysis of operon structures identified a large number of new candidate thiamin-regulated genes, mostly transporters, in various prokaryotic organisms. The record is from Rfam by way of RNAcentral. Lineage: Bacteria; Pseudomonadati; Pseudomonadota; Alphaproteobacteria; Rhodobacterales; Paracoccaceae.
CGCAAUCCGUUGGGGCGCCCCGCAAGGGGGCUGAGAGGUCUUGGACCGACCCAUCGAACCUGAUCCGGGUCAUGCCGGCGUAGGGAACGGAGCGAAGCGCGGC